GCCCUCCCCACGACUGCUUAACGCGAAGAACCUUACCUGGCCUUGACAUGCCACUAACGAGGUCAGAGAUGCAUUAGGUGCCCGUAAGGGAAAUGGGACACAGGUGCUGCAUGGCUGUCGUCAGCUCGUGUCGUGAGAUGUUGGGUUAAGUCCCGCAACGAGCGCAACCCUUGCCAUUAAUUGCCAUCAUUUAGUUGGGCACUUUAAUGGGACUGCCGGUGACAAACCGGAGGAAGGUGGGGAUGACGUCAAGUCCUCAUGGCCCUUAUGGCCAGGGCUUCACACGUAAUACAAUGGUCGGUACAGAGAGUUGCCAAGCCGCGAGGUGGAGCUAAUCUCAGAAAGCCGAUCGUAGUCCGGAUUGUUCUCUGCAACUCGAGAGCAUGAAGUCGGAAUCGCUAGUAAUCGCGGAUCAGCAUGUCGCGGUGAAUACGUUCCCGGGUCUUGUACACACCCCGGGUCUUGU
RNAcentral lists this ribosomal RNA (466 nucleotides) under uncultured bacterium. RNAcentral's name for it is "bacterial SSU rRNA". It matches the Rfam family "Bacterial small subunit ribosomal RNA", at positions 944 to 1402 of the family's 1533-position model. The record is from RNAcentral.